UAACAAGAUUGUUCGCCAGAGAACUACUAGCUACAGCUUAAAACUCAAAGGACUUGGCGGUGCUUUAUAUCCCUCUAGAGGAGCCUGUUCUGUAAUCGAUAAACCCCGAUAAACCUCACCAGCCCUUGCUAAUUCAGCCUAUAUACCGCCAUCUUCAGCAAACCCUUAAAGGGAAUCAUAGUAAGCACAAGUAUACGCAUAAAAACGUUAGGUCAAGGUGUAGCUAAUGAGUUGGGAAGAAAUGGGCUACAUUUUCUACUUUUAGAACAUAUACUUUUUAACGAAAACCUUUAUGAAACGAAAGGUUAAAGGAGGAUUUAGUAGUAAAUUAAGAAUAGAGCGCUUAAUUGAAUGAGGC
Molecule: ribosomal RNA, 358 nt
Filed under: Talpa stankovici (Balkan mole)
Lineage: Eukaryota; Metazoa; Chordata; Mammalia; Eulipotyphla; Talpidae
Description: partial 12S ribosomal RNA
Rfam family: Bacterial small subunit ribosomal RNA
Source: RNAcentral